Long non-coding RNA from Equus caballus (horse), 603 nucleotides. RefSeq lists it as uncharacterized. NCBI's taxonomy places the organism in Eukaryota, Metazoa, Chordata, Mammalia, Perissodactyla, Equidae. The record is from RefSeq and is a predicted model, not a curated record.
CUCCCUGCGUGCUUAAAUGGAGAUGAGGUUUUAUUCUGUGGCUGAGGGAGAGGAGACAGGUUUGGGCAGAGGCACUUGGUGGAGGGGGGAUGCAGGCAACAGCAGAAUGGCUCCGGGGACCAUUCUAGACAGAGAUGUUCCAGGCCGAAGCUGGAAACUCAAGUCGUUGGAGAAGUAUAUCUGAUAAAGCCACAUUAUACCAUUAUGAGGUGCACCGCUGGUAUUCGAGGAUUGUUUGUUAGUCGAACGAGUGGCUUGGAAAACAGAGUGACUUUCUACGGAGAUGACCCCUGGAAGUGUUUCCUUCUGUCCCAGUAUAGCCACCAUGGUGCGACAGCUCUUUGCUAUUCUCAGAGGUGCAUCCUUUUAUCCUCCUACUGUAGAGCCACAUGCCCUGUGAAGAUCCUGACUAGUGAAUUUUGGAAAGAGAAUCUCUGAGAACUGUAACUCAACUUUGGGUAGAAGUCUAUUCCGAAUUCUGUGGACAACUUGAGUCUUGGGAGCAUGUCUUUUUCUUGCACAUAGUAGGCACUCAAUUAAACUUCGUUCAAUAAAUAAAGAGAAAACCCCUCUUGUUUAAAUAAAAGAGUGAAUUCGUGUUAG